GACGAACGCUGGCGGCGUGCUUAACACAUGCAAGUCGAACGGUAAGGCCCUUCGGGGUACACGAGUGGCGAACGGGUGAGUAACACGUGGGUGAUCUGCCCUGCACUUCGGGAUAAGCCUGGGAAACUGGGUCUAAUACCGGAUAGGACCACUGCCUGCAUGGGUGGUGGUGGAAAGCUUUUGCGGUGUGGGAUGGGCCCGCGGCCUAUCAGCUUGUUGGUGGGGUGAUGGCCUACCAAGGCGACGACGGGUAGCCGGCCUGGGAGGGUGACCGGCCACACGGGGGCGAGGAUGCGGCCCAGACUCCUAGGGGGGGAAGCGGUGGGGAAUAUUGCAAAAGGGGCGCAAGCGUGAGGCAGCGGCGCCGGGUGGGGGAGGACGGCUUUCGGUUUGAAAACCUCUUUCAGCACCGACGAAGCGCAAGGGACGGUAGGUGCAGAAGAAGGACCGGCCAGCUACGUGCCACCCGCCGCCGUAA
This 478-nucleotide ribosomal RNA is filed under the name uncultured bacterium. RNAcentral describes it as "partial 16S ribosomal RNA". It matches the Rfam family "Bacterial small subunit ribosomal RNA", at positions 28 to 523 of the family's 1533-position model. The record is from RNAcentral.